AAGCAGACUGGACAGAAAGGAACUCUGAGCAGCUAAACUCUGACUAAUCCCAGGGUAUACCUGCGUUUUCUCUUCACCAGAUUUUUCCUACCAGGAAGAGCAUGUGCUGACCAACAGACAUGAAUUUCAGCCUGGUAGUUACAACAUUCACAGGAGUUUCACUCGUUGCCCAGGCUGGAGUGCAACGGCGCGAUCUCAGCUCACUGCAACCUCCGCCUCCCCAGUUCAAGCGAUUCUCCUGCCUCAGCCUCCUGAGUCACUGGAAUUACGGGCGCCUGACACCACGCCCAGCUAAUUUUUUGUAUUUUUAGUAGACAUGGGGUUUCACUAUGUUGGCCAGGCUGGUCUCGAACUCCUGACCUCAUGAUCCUCCUGCCUCAGCCUCCCAAAGCACUGGGAUUACAGGUGUGAGCCACUGUGCCUGGUCCAUUAAAAACAUUUGUAAAGCUAUGGUGUUGAUAAAGUAUUAUGAAAGACUGCAAAAAAAGAUGGCUAAUUUUUAGUUAUUAUUGCACAUGUUUAGAGGAGCUAAUGACAUUUUCUAUGAUUAAUAAAAGACAUUAUUUAUGUUUUUAUUUAUGUAUUCCACAACAUUUAUUUUAUUUUCUCCAUUUCAGGAAAACCACUAUGUUGUUACAAUAAAGAUUUUCAUGUAAUUUGUGUUCAAUUGAUAGUAAUAAUGUAACAAGUUAAAAAUGAAGGUAAUUGUGUUUAAAAUUU
RNAcentral lists this long non-coding RNA (720 nucleotides) under Homo sapiens (human). Its description in RNAcentral is "non-protein coding lnc-TRMT61B-1:18". The record is from RNAcentral. Lineage: Eukaryota; Metazoa; Chordata; Mammalia; Primates; Hominidae.